RNAcentral lists this ribosomal RNA (439 nucleotides) under uncultured bacterium. RNAcentral's name for it is "partial 16S ribosomal RNA". It matches the Rfam family "Bacterial small subunit ribosomal RNA", at positions 339 to 795 of the family's 1533-position model. The record is from RNAcentral.
CUACGGGCCGCACCAGUGAGGAAUAUUGCACAAUGGGGGGAACCCUGAUGCAGCAACGCCGCGUGGAGGAUGACGCAUUUCGGUGUGUAAACUCCUUUUAUAUGUCAAGAAAAUGACGGUAGCAUAUGAAUAAGCACCGGCUAACUCCGUGCCAGCAGCCGCGGUAAUACGGAGGGUGCAAGCGUUACUCGGAAUCACUGGGCGUAAAGGACGCGUAGGCGGGUUGGAAAGUCAGGUGUGAAAUCCUACAGCUUAACUGUAGAACUGCACUUGAAACUUCUAAGCUAGAGUAUGGGAGGGGGAGAUGGAAUUAGUGGUGUAGGGGUAAAAUCCGUAGAUAUCACUGGGAAUACCUAAGGCGAAGGCGAUCUCCUGGAACAUUACUGACGCUAAGGCGUGAAAGUGUGGGGAGCAAACAGGAUUAGAUACCCUUGUAGUC